RNAcentral lists this transfer RNA (106 nucleotides) under Pseudozyma flocculosa. It matches the Rfam family "tRNA". From Rfam's summary of the family: Transfer RNA (tRNA) molecules are approximately 80 nucleotides in length. Their secondary structure includes four short double-helical elements and three loops (D, anti-codon, and T loops). Further hydrogen bonds mediate the characteristic L-shaped molecular structure. tRNAs have two regions of fundamental functional importance: the anti-codon, which is responsible for specific mRNA codon recognition, and the 3' end, to which the tRNAs corresponding amino acid is attached (by aminoacyl-tRNA synthetases). tRNAs cope with the degeneracy of the genetic code in two manners: having more than one tRNA (with a specific anti-codon) for a particular amino acid; and 'wobble' base-pairing, i.e. permitting non-standard base-pairing at the 3rd anti-codon position. RNAcentral also lists the same sequence under 1 other name. The record is from Rfam by way of RNAcentral. Lineage: Eukaryota; Fungi; Basidiomycota; Ustilaginomycetes; Ustilaginales; Ustilaginaceae.
GCCUCCUUAGCUCAGUGGUAGAGCGCGUCACUAGUACUCCAGGUCGCCUCCGGUUCCUCGUGGAAUCGCCAUGACGAGGUCAGUCGUUCAAAUCGGCUAGGAGGCA